RNAcentral lists this long non-coding RNA (1595 nucleotides) under Lactuca sativa (garden lettuce). RNAcentral describes it as "long non-coding RNA (LSAT_LNC006200)". The record is from RNAcentral. Lineage: Eukaryota; Viridiplantae; Streptophyta; Magnoliopsida; Asterales; Asteraceae.
CCAAAUUCACAAAAUUUUGUCGGUUAAAUUUUUUUGUUGUCCGACAAUAAAUGAAACCAAAAACUUAUGCAUUGCAAUUUUCAAAAACAAAACUUACAAAUGGGUUUACCCCAAACAAUAACAAAAACUUACAUAUUGCAACUUUAAAGAAAAAACUAAACACUCAACUACAAGAGCUCUAAAAACCCAACAAGAAGAUCAUAUUCAGAUCUUAAGAAGCUUACCCACGAUUUCUUUGAGAUGUCGGUUUAUAUCAAUCCAUUUCAAGUCCUGUAAACACACAUAAACACAAAGUUAGACAUACACAUAGAUACAGGACGAUGGUCAGCGUUUUAGAAGGAGGCAGAGAGGAAACUAAUAUGUGGAAGCUAUGAGGUAGCUUUUUGAUAGAGAGACAGAAAGGGGCAGUGCAAAGAACGAUAACAAAGGUGGUGGUUUUAGCAAACAAAGAUAGCCACGGAAGGAGAAAAAAGGUAGUGUAUCGCAACAACAAUGAUCUAGGAUUUUUUAGAAACAACUAAUUGACUCUUGGUGAUUUGCAAGAUAAACAUAGACUCAUACAAACACACACAACCAAAUUGAGAAACGAUAAGGAAAGAAAGUAAUACCUUGAACUAAACAAAUUAACAAGCUCUCUGGUUGCUUAUUUCUUUAAGAGCAUCAAACUAACUAUGAAAUUUUCAAAUAUAAUAAGAACCUCUAUUAUCAAUUGCAAAGAUACAGUCAUAAAGAGAGUAACAACUAUAUCUGACAUUUGUGUUAAUUUUCUAGAUCUGAUGCAAUUUCAUCUACUGGAAGGACUUAAAUGAGAGAACUUGAAACCAACAUUUCAUGAUCAGCUACAAUGAGAACAAAAUCUACAAAACUAACAUCUCACCUGCAAAUCCCACACCAAUAUCCGAUAUUCAAAUGAUGGAGUAAAAACCCCAAACCCAAUCCCCAAGAAAAAACAAACAACAUAUGACCUUCAAACACAGAUUCAGAUUAACCUAUCUGCAAUUUUUUGGGUUUAAUUAAGAAUCAGUUCUAAAUGAAAACUAAAAUCGGAAACUAUUAAAGAAAACCUACAUGGCUUCGAAUGAUCUGUCGAAUCUUUGAGGAGUCCACAUCGGUUUCAAGGUUGAAGCGGCGAUGCAUAUAUCCUUAGGUUUCCAACGAGUGAUGGAGAUCUGAAUGAGGUGAUGGUAGUAAUGAAGUAGUGAAGACGAAGGUGUUGAUAUGUGUAGGGUUUUAGAGAUAGGUCUUAAUAAGGUGUAGAAGUGGUAGAGGUGCGUUGGGAUGGGUAACAGUAGAUAUUGGUGAACAGCGAAACGUAGGUGAAGGAGGGUAGAGGCGAAAAAUUAUUGGGUGGUGAUGAUAGACGGAAAGAGGCAGAGUGCAUACGUUGGUGGUCAGACUGUUCGUGGUUAACGUUAAUUUGAGAGAAGUAGGUAGGUGGCAGAGAAGGCGAAACAUGCGUGACUGUGGGUGGUUUAAGGCGAAAGGAGGCAAAGUGACGUCUAAGGUUUCAGUGGUGGUGGAGAUUAUGGAGGUGACAGAGUUGUGCGGUUGUGUUGCUGGUGAAUUCCAACAGCUAGGGUUUUUCCAUUGAAUGG